GAUGAACGCUAGCUACAGGCUUAACACAUGCAAGUCGAGGGGCAGCAUGAACAUAGCUUGCUAUGUUUGAUGGCGACCGGCGCACGGGUGCGUAACACGUAUCCAAUCUGCCCGUUACUCGGGGAUAGCCUUCUGAAAGGAAGAUUAAUACCCGAUAGUAUCCAUUAGCGGCAUCGCCUAUGGAUUAAAGAUUUAUCGGCAACGGAUGAGGAUGCGUACGAUUAGCUGGUUGGCGGGGUAACGGCCCACCAAGGCGACGAUCGUUAGGGGUUCUGAGAGGAAGGUCCCCCACACUGGAACUGAGACACGGUCCAGACUCCUACGGGAGGCAGCAGUGAGGAAUAUUGGUCAAUGGUCUGACGACUGAACCAGCCAUGCCGCGUGAAGGUCACGGCCCUAUGGGUCUUAAACUUCUUUUGCAAGGGNGCAAUAAGUCUUACGUGUAGGAUGAUGAGAGUACCUUACGAAUAAGCAUCGGCUAACUCCGUG
RNAcentral lists this ribosomal RNA (489 nucleotides) under uncultured bacterium. RNAcentral's name for it is "bacterial SSU rRNA". It matches the Rfam family "Bacterial small subunit ribosomal RNA", at positions 28 to 507 of the family's 1533-position model. The record is from RNAcentral.